CUGGAGUGCAGAUACAUCACUUCCGGUUCUAUGUUGGCGGCACGGUAGGCGUACGGAAGAGAUGUUCUCAGCCACAGCUGCUUGGUGCACUUCAUCAGGUCCAUCAGCCAAGCGCAGCGCCCGUGCCCAGGCAUGAAACUGUGCAAGUGGGAAGUCAUUGCUGAGUCCUGCAGCCCCAAAAGCCUGAAGGAUAAACACAGGUUAAAUAAAACCAAAGCCAAUAACGCACAAAAAGAAUCGCUGCCGUUUUACAGUUAUAAUGGAAAGGAAGACUCAGAGCAAAAUGAAUACAUUGGCCCACAUUUACUAUGAGUGGUGAGAACUUACCUUAUUGCCUACAGUAUCCAUAAGAUGGGCGGCUUUGAGCACCAACAGCCUCGCCUGAUCAAUCUCAGCUCUGGAUUUGGCAAUAUUUGCCAAGAUAGUGCCUUGUUCAGCC
Molecule: long non-coding RNA, 439 nt
Organism: Bufo gargarizans (Asiatic toad)
Lineage: Eukaryota; Metazoa; Chordata; Amphibia; Anura; Bufonidae
Exons: 3
Source: RefSeq, a predicted model, not a curated record